RNAcentral lists this ribosomal RNA (253 nucleotides) under uncultured bacterium. RNAcentral's name for it is "partial 16S ribosomal RNA". It matches the Rfam family "Bacterial small subunit ribosomal RNA", at positions 524 to 776 of the family's 1533-position model. The record is from RNAcentral.
UACGGGGGGGGCAAGCGUUGUUCGGAAUUACUGGGCGUAAAGGGCUCGUAGGCGGCCAACUAAGUCAGACGUGAAAUCCCUCGGCUUAACCGGGGAACUGCGUCUGAUACUGGAUGGCUUGAGUUUGGGAGAGGGAUGCGGAAUUCCCGGUGUAGCGGUGAAAUGCGCAGAUAUCGGGAGGAACACCAAUGGCGAAGGCAGCUUGCUGGGACGGUACUGACGCUGAGGCGCGAAAGCGUGGGGAGCAAACAGG